This 315-nucleotide ribosomal RNA is filed under the name uncultured eukaryote. RNAcentral's name for it is "partial 18S ribosomal RNA". It matches the Rfam family "Eukaryotic small subunit ribosomal RNA", at positions 1470 to 1796 of the family's 1831-position model. The record is from RNAcentral.
CCCUUAGACGUUCUGGGCCGCACGCGCGCUACACUGACCAGUGCAACAAGCAUCCGUCCUUGGCCGACAGGCCCGGGCAAUCUUUGAACGCUGGUCGUGAUGGGGAUAGACUUUUGCAAUUUUUGGUCUUCAACGAGGAACUCCUAGUAAACGCAAGUCAUCAACUUGCAUUGAUUACGUCCCUGCCCUUUGUACACACCGCCCGUCGCACCUACCGAUUGAAUGGUCCGGUGAAGCCUCCGGAUUGGCGCGCACCUCGGUGCCGCCGAGAAGUUGGCUAAACCUUACCAUUUAGAGGAAGGUGAAGUCGUAACA